GCGGGUUUAGCUCAGUUGGGAGAGCGUCAGACUGAAGUCCACUUCACUCAAUAAAUCUGAAGGUCGUGUGUUCGAUCCACACAAACCGCA
Molecule: transfer RNA, 90 nt
Organism: Neurospora tetrasperma FGSC 2509
Lineage: Eukaryota; Fungi; Ascomycota; Sordariomycetes; Sordariales; Sordariaceae
Rfam family: tRNA
About the family: Transfer RNA (tRNA) molecules are approximately 80 nucleotides in length. Their secondary structure includes four short double-helical elements and three loops (D, anti-codon, and T loops). Further hydrogen bonds mediate the characteristic L-shaped molecular structure. tRNAs have two regions of fundamental functional importance: the anti-codon, which is responsible for specific mRNA codon recognition, and the 3' end, to which the tRNAs corresponding amino acid is attached (by aminoacyl-tRNA synthetases). tRNAs cope with the degeneracy of the genetic code in two manners: having more than one tRNA (with a specific anti-codon) for a particular amino acid; and 'wobble' base-pairing, i.e. permitting non-standard base-pairing at the 3rd anti-codon position.
Source: Rfam